Molecule: long non-coding RNA, 1521 nt
Filed under: Anas platyrhynchos platyrhynchos (common mallard)
Lineage: Eukaryota; Metazoa; Chordata; Aves; Anseriformes; Anatidae
Description: lncRNA (ENSAPLG00000030126.1)
Source: RNAcentral
GGGGAAGAAGACACAAGUUUGCCAAAAUCCAACAUACCGGGUUGGGGCAGAACCCACCAGAAGAGCCUGGUCUUUUCACACAGCUGGAUUUGUGCAGUUUAAAAUUUCUCAGCAAUGCCCGCAUGGUGAUGCUGAGGGAGCUUUGGCUGGUUUUGAAGCCCCCUCUCUCGCUGCUGUCCCCGGGCUGGCUGCUCUGCACCCCCAGCCAGCCAGCAGGGCGAUAAGUGACCUGAGCAAAGAGGAUUUUUUUCUCUUGCCUUAUCUCCUCCCCAGGGUAAAUUCCUAGAGCUCCCUGUUCCUCUGCACCAACACGUCCUCCCGUGCACCACCGAUAGCUGUUAACUACACUCCCGGUCUUUGCAUCCCUCUUUGAUGUGCGAGAUGCUCAGGAGCUUUGUCUUUUGCAGAGGAUGUUGGUAGAUAAGCAACAGAAAACACAUGAAGGAAAGCUGUUGGUAAUGGCACGCUGCUCUCUGGCAGGCACUGCCUCUGCUCACUUACACCUCUAUCACACACACAUCCCUUCUCCAGCCUCUGUGGGUUUGCCCUUGCUUUGUGCUAGCCCAAAUCAGACCAGACUCAAACUUCUGCCUCCAUUUUCAACUCUGGAGCAAUCCCGUCACUUGCAGCCCUUCCCAGUCAAUAGCUGAACACGUCUGCGGUUUAUUUACCCAAAACACGAAUCCUGGCUGUGUUUGCAAAUCACUGUCACUGUCAGGGGCUCCUCCUAAACCACCGCCUUUGCCACACGGAUGGGCCCCACGAGCAGAUCACGCCGUGUACACGCUGUCACUCAGCACCACCACCAAAGCCCCUUUCCAAGCCACAACCCCCUCUCACCGGGCUGUUCAGCAAGCUGUAAUUACGCAGCUCACUCAGCACCCAGCACUGACACGCCUCUGGCAAUCCCCAUGUUGGCAUUUAUCUCCCGUGGCUUGCCGUGCCCUGCCUGAGCAGCCGGGGCGUGAUGGGGAGCCGGUUCCUGCCGGCACCGCGUGCCCCGAGCGCUCUCCUCCACCCACAGCGAGCAUGCCGCAGUGCCAAAGUUUGGACACGGGACCUCCAAGGCAUCUCCUGAGAAAUCAGGUGGUGGAAACUGGUUUGUUACAGAUUAAAGAUGCGUCUCGUGGGAUUAAAGUUUGCUGCUCCUCAGCCUACGACUUGGAAGCGACCGACCAGCAGGAGGAAGGGGCCCUCUUCUCAUUAGGGGCUGCUGCUCAUUGGUGCUGUUCUCCCCCCUUUCCUGGGCUGAAGGUCCUGCUGGUGACGGGGCCGGGCAGCGUGCUCCUGUGGCUGCAGCCCCCGAGAGCCCCGCUGCAGCCGGGUGCAUGGCCAAGAGGCUUUCAGUGGCUGCACGCUGCUCCAGUAACUGGGGAGGAACCAAACCACGCUCGGAGACAUCACAUUCAGACCAGUUCCAUCUCCUCCUCAGCACCUCUGAAGCCACCCAAGGUGCCUGUACCUGCCUGGCUGACACGACCCCCCGUGGGCGGUUGCCCCUCACCCACCGCCCUGCUCUAA